Long non-coding RNA from Episyrphus balteatus (marmalade hoverfly), 1187 nucleotides. RefSeq lists it as uncharacterized. The record is from RefSeq and is a predicted model, not a curated record. Lineage: Eukaryota; Metazoa; Arthropoda; Insecta; Diptera; Syrphidae. The transcript is spliced from 3 exons.
ACAACGAAAACAAAUAAAUUUAUCAAAGCUGCAAUGUGCCUUGUUUACUAGGUUUCUUUGUUUUUUUUUUGUUUUUUAAGUAAAUUUGUAGUUGCAAUUUUGUAUUGUUAUUCGUUCGAAACAUAACUAAUGAAUCCAUUGAGUUCAAGUUAUAAAAAUGAAAAAAGGAAUUCGUUCCAUUCAUUGUCCUUUCGAAGAAAAUCAUCAACGUCGACCACACCAUUCACGUCACAGAAAUAGCAGUCAAGUCGAGAUGAUACUGCUGCUACCGAUACUGGUGCCUCUGUUUCAACACCAGAAGCAUCAGCAGCAUAACCUCUACACUAACAUCAAGUCAAUAAUCAUUCGUGGAGGACAGUAUCAAUAAUUCAAUGAGCUCUGAAAAACGCAAAGAAGAAUGAUUCCCACAGAUUCAAGGAACGCAUGGGAAUACACUUUUUGAUGCUUUUCAAACUUAAAUGGAAUAAUUUUUAUAGUGGUUAAGAAGAAGAAUAUUGUCAACUUUUCAUGAGUCUCGAAGAAUUCAAAGAGGAGACAAUAAACAAUUCGCAGCUCAGGAAAUUACUUUGGCUAAAAUAAUCAACGAUAAUAUAGCCAGCCAUCAAUUAGGAAAUAGGUGGUCCAAAAAGACGAAACCGAUAAUCUGAAAACUCCAUUGGCGAAAAGUCCACUGACACUAAACCACUUCUUAACUCCUUGACUGUUCUAGACAACGAAUGCAAAGAAUCAAUCCCACACCGGGUUUUGGCUGAAAAAAAGGUGCCUACGAUAUAAUCAUUACGCUACUCGAACAAGAAUUCUCUUCAUCCAAUCCAGAUAAAGAAAAUCUUUACAUAAUGUGUUUGUACAGCAAUCGUUGACCAAUCAACAACCGAAUCUCUACGACGAAGAAGUCCUGGCCAUUCCUUCAUUCUUUAUUUAAUAAGAUGUCUUAUUGUUGAUGCUCGGGUUUUUUCAUUCAACAAUAAAGUUUUCUUUAGAAACAUUUUGUUCAUGAAUCAUUGAGUUCAAUAAGUCAAAAUAAGUAAAUAUAGUGCAAAAAGAUAACAAAAGGUGUGUUUUUGAUUACGCCCGGGCAUUGGACAAAAACUAAACGAAUCGGUUAUCGCCGAUAGCAAUUUACAAGGUAAAUGCAACAACAAUGCAACUAAGCCCGAGGGUGUAAGGUGUUGUUGCAUUUAACAUUU